GCUAGGAAGAACACGUGCAAUGGAAUGAAACCAUGGGGAAACCGGAGACUCACCGAGAGGACUUGUGAGGACGUUGAAGAGCUUCGUGGUGGGGAACUGUUGCCUUGCUCACCCCAGCAGCUUGAAGCGAAAGCACACAGAGCCUUUGGAGCCCUGGGCAGGUGCCUGAAGGAGCACAGAUCUCCGAGUCAGGCCUGGAAGAGCUGCCUGCACACCAGGAACACGCGUUUAGGGGUCGGUGUGAAGCCAGUCUGCCUGCAUUUCCAGGUUACGUGUGACAGCAGCUCGCAUUUCUCCCGCGUGCACAGCUUCGCUGUUUGAGGAUGGGUGGAAGAAGCCUGUGCCUUUGUGCUGUGACCGUGCUCUUUUGAUCCAGGAAUAAUUGAAGGAAACAAUUUUUCUGCCACGAUGUCAGGAAAAUGGGUUCAUAGUAAGCACUUCAUUUGUCUCACAAGACUUUCAUGGUUUUGCUUUAGACCCCUCCUGGCACACUCUGGCUCCCGACGUGGUAGUAACACCUAGGUCUCUAGUUUUCUAAGUCAUAUCGGCUCAUCCUAUUCGGAUCGGCAUUUUUAAAAAAUGUUGCCAAAGAGGUGGUUUUAUUUUUAUUUUUAAAUAGUCUUCUUUUUUAUUUUUUGUACCAGGUAUCGAACUCGGGCCCUUGGGCUUGUGAGGCAAGUGGCAAAAACCACUGAGCUAAAUCCCUGGCCCAGAAACAGAUGGUUUUAAAUGCUGCCUUAUUUAAUUUUGCUAGGAGAAAUUUUUAUUUACUAUGAUGUUACUACUGAGGACAGCAUAAUGAGAAAUAUUUUUAAAGCAAGCUGAAUUAAUAAAAUUCAGUAAAAGUCUCACAUUUCAGGUAUCUGCACUAAUUUAAUAAACUGUAAAUAAUGUGGGAGGAGGGAAGAGUAAGAAUUGCAUACACCAUCUUAGUUAUAAGUAACUGAGCUCCUCUUGUAUCUCUAGGUAUUUUUUCAUCACCCAAUUACAGAAAAAAGUAAAACAGAAACCCCUAUCCUACAGAUGUUUGUUCAUGUUUCAGAGCAUUAUAAUUUAUCUUUACAAAAUAGGAAAGGAGGACAACUAGAAACCACUCUGAAGACAGUCACACCGAUUUUUAAAAACUGUUUCACAGAUAAGAAGUCGGCCUAUUCCUUCAUGUAGGUGUCACGGAGCACCAGGAUAACACUGGCGAGAAAUCUACAGAAAAGUGUUUUACAAUUAAAGGAGAAUCUCAUGGUAUCAUUAAUUACUAGCCAUAAAAGCAGAAAAGAACAAUAAUGUACAAGUUGAACCUGAUGAUCCUAACUCCCCCUUUCGAUAAUACCAAAACCUCACAUAACAGCCUUUAAAUGAAAUUUAUAUUUAUCUGUCAAUUUAGAUAUCACCAUAUCACAUAAUCAUUAAAAAGAAAUAGCCAUUUCCUCUCUAUAGAAAUAUUAUUAAUUUUAUAAGUGCUUUUGAGAGAAAAACAAUUGAAGAUAAAAACCUUGUUUAAAGUCAGCAACUUAUAUUGAUGCUUUAUAUCUGAAUUAUUUUUUGUAAGAUAACGAGCUUUGGUGUCAGAGUUUGAUUUGAAUCUUAAUUCUACUCAGUAUGUAAGAUAAUAUGUUUAUAAAGGGCCUGAAAAAGGUCAAGGCACACAGUAACUCCUCAGAUGUGAGCCAUUACUUCUAAUCAAAGCGGUGGUGGUUGUCAUGUACAAGUACUUGCUAAGAAUGCUUACUGAACGUUAUGGUCCUUCCCCUAAUCACUGAAUGAGUAUUACUCACUCUGGAUGAUACAUGAACACAGUGAGGCUCAGAAACGUCUGGAAAUGUACUCAGAGCAUGGACCUAGAUGUGUGAGAAGCCAAAGCACCAAUGCUACUAACCUCUAACUUGCUGCUUUUUAAAGGGAAGUCUGUUAAAAGUCCUUGCGGACUAGGUGUGUAUUGGGGGUGGAAGGCUGCCUGGACGUUUACUCUAAGAACUAAACAACUUGUAUGCCGAUGAGAAUAUUUUAAACAAUUAAUAGUCAUGCCCCAAAUUAUCUGGACAAUUGCUAAAUGUUGCUAGAACACUUCAAUGCUUUGGUUUUGUAUUUACCUGACAAUAAUGCCCAAACAUACUUUACACUGGAAGGCUUAAUUCUAUAAAAUGGAAUACUACUCAGCCAUAAAGAAUGAGAAAUUAGAUUCAUUCAUAGGAAAAUGGAUACAUAUUGAGGAUAUACUCAAGUAAAAUAAAUAAGUCACACGUGUGUAAAUACUGAAUAGUUUCUCUGGUGUGAAAAGCUAGAACAGUACAUAAGAUCCUAAUGAGAUAAUUGACCAUGUGAAAUAGGAAGCAAAGGGCUAAAGGUGUAGGGAAAAUAGGAAUGGUAGGGGAAAGGUAAUAAGGGAAAAGAAAAAAUAUGACAAAAUGAAAAAAUGGAAAUGAAGUGUUUGUAAAUGGGGAGGGGAGGAGGGGGUGAAGGGAGGGCAGGGACAAGGGGAAAAAAUGAGAACCAAGACCUGUAAAGGUACAAGAUCCCAAUAAUGAAUGUAAUUGUAUUGUACACCUAAAAUGCACCAAUAAACUCAAUAAAGGGAAAAAAAAAAAAGAACAGAGGCUGUCUUAAUGGGGAAUGACGCAUUCAAGCUAGACGAAGAUCAAACAUCACUAAGUGUUGAACAAAUGAAAGUAAUGUGAAGGGUGGACUGGACCUAGCACUGAGCAGAAGGAUGUGUGCGGAGCGUGACUGAACGUUGAUAUAAUACACCAAAGUUGUAGUACAAGUGUUGGUUUCAUUUUGGCCAAACAUCACCAUCCAACAUAUUUAAUCAACAUUAUUUUAAAAUUACUAGCUUUUAUAGUUUUCCUUGUGCCUCAUCUGUAAACUUGUUUUUAUACUUGUGCAAGAGCUAUCAGCACAAGGCAUUUAUAUCUAGUUUGAAGUUUAUAUAUAUAGUUUAGAUAACGUAUACAGAUAACAAGUGAAAAGUGAGACGCUAAUACACCGUUUUCCUCAUUAAAAGGGAACUUCAUUGCUCAAGUUUGAGAAGCACUGCUCUACUCUGGACAGCCUGUGCAUGUGGCCUUCAGCAGGUCACUCAACCUUUAUUGCUACUCAUGUUAUAGGACUUGGAGGACUAAAAGAAAAUGUGCAAGUGUCUGGACCACAAAAUGUAUUAGAGCUCCACAGAGAAUGCUGACAGCUAAAUUCACUGUGUUUUGUACUACUCUUAGGUUAAGUGAGGUGACUGGAGAAAGCCUGGUAUUAAUGAUCAAAAAUGAAUGUUCUACCGCUGUGUUUAGUGUAAAAAUAGUUUUUGCUAUUGGUUUGCCAUAGACUAUUUACAUAUUGUGGGACCUCCUUUGAAAGGAAGCUAAUUUCCAAUUCAGAAAGACUGAAGGUCUUUUAGGUAUUUUAAAAUACAAAGUAUUCAUAGUAACUCUCUGAAUUUUGAAUACAUAACUUUUAAAAUCCAGUCAAUGAAAACAUUUUUAGGUCUCUUUUACCUAACAGCAAUUAAAAUCAUUUAACUAUGUUAAGUUCUUCAGUAUUUUAGCAAACAUGGUCUAGUCUAACACUGCCUCAGUUUAUAAUUAUGUGCUUACAUUAACAUACAUUAUAAAAUGGGAUUAUGGGCACAGAAUAUUAGUUUUACUGCUUGACAAAAAUAUUAGGUCACAUUCAGCAGUUAUGAUUUUGUUCAUGUAAUUUACCUAGAGAAUAUUAUGUUUUUCUUCUAGAACCCAGUGAACCUGUAUAUUUAAGGCAUGCUGUACUUAAGAUUCAAAGAUGUUCUUCUUGGAAAUGUAGAAAAUAUUAAUGAUAUCCAAGAGACCCACUAGUAUCUAAGACAAUAUUUAGUAAGAACAAACACUUGAACUAUGAUAUUUAUUGGUCUGUCUUUAUACAUGGGCUACAGAAGUUAUACUGAAAGAAUGUACAGCAGAUUGUGUGUGUGUGUGUGUGUGUGUUGCAUGCAUAUGUAUCUAUGUUUAGGCCUACUAAAUAGUCCUUACAUCUCUGUGUAUAUGUGUGUUAUGUAUGAAAACUUACAUAUAUCUAUGUUUAGGCCUACUAAGCAACCCUUAUCUCCAGGUUUCUCUGACGUACACUAUAGGUAGACUAUACACUCAAUAUGUGUGUCUCCACUCUAGUUCACAUGAAAAAGCUCUGAUCCGCCAUGUGAUGAUACUUGGAGUUGGGCCUUUGAGAGUUAAUUAUGUCAUGAGGAUGGAACUCACAUACUGGGAUUAGUGUCCCUUAUAUAAAGGAACAGUGAGUAAUGAUCUCUCUCUGCCAUAUGAAGGAAGACACACCAAGGAGGAAGUCAUCGGCAAACUGGGAAGCCAAAUGACUGGCACUCUGAUCUCCAAACUUGUGAGAAAUAAAUGUUGCUUCAGCCACCAAAUUUAUGGCAUUCACCCAAUAGGAAUAAGACAAAUUAGAACAUGUUCUCAGGAAAUCAAAAAUCAAGGGUUAACCACAUGCCACAAGGCUGUCAUUAGUGCUAGUACAAAUAAAACAGUGCACUACAUGUUGAUUACGAUGACUAUAAAGGAGGGGAAAGAGAAGAAAAAGAAUUGAGAUGUGUUGUAUACAUGUACCAGCUUCCCAUGAGGACUGUAAUCAGUAUGUCCUGCAAACAUGCACUAAGGAAAACAAUUAAGGGAAUUCCAAGUGGAAACUUACCUAAUUUCUCUAUAGCUUCUUUUGUGUUUUUGGUGCUUAAUAAGCCAAUUCACUUUUCCUAUUACCAUAUAAUUCUUCUCUAUGUAGUACUUCAAAUUCUUAUUUCUAUUCAUAUAUCAAACAAUUUAAACUCUAUAUACAUUAUAUAUAGACAAUGUAUCAGAAAUAUAUGUAUAUAUAUAUAAAAUAUACUACACAUAUAGACAAUGUAUCAUGGGAAACAGUCUUUUGUAGCUUAUACUGAACAGUAUAUUUUAUCAACCAUUACCCUAUUUGAAUUCAUUAAUCAAUACCUAUGGGAAUAAACAAACAACAUACAUAAGCCCUUUUUUCUA
Molecule: long non-coding RNA, 5000 nt
Organism: Fukomys damarensis (Damara mole-rat)
Lineage: Eukaryota; Metazoa; Chordata; Mammalia; Rodentia; Bathyergidae
Source: Ensembl